CAUUUCCAACUCCGUGCAC
Molecule: unclassified non-coding RNA, 19 nt
Filed under: Mus musculus (house mouse)
Lineage: Eukaryota; Metazoa; Chordata; Mammalia; Rodentia; Muridae
Description: oocyte_clustered_small_RNA4212
Source: RNAcentral